This 789-nucleotide ribosomal RNA is filed under the name uncultured bacterium. Its description in RNAcentral is "bacterial SSU rRNA". It matches the Rfam family "Bacterial small subunit ribosomal RNA", at positions 8 to 796 of the family's 1533-position model. The record is from RNAcentral.
AGAGUUUGAUCAUGGCUCAGAUUGAACGCUGGCGGCAUGCUUUACACAUGCAAGUCGAACGGGGUGAGGGGGCAACCUCUCAUUCAGUGGCGAACGGGUGAGUAAUGCAUCGGAACGUGCCUCGUAGUGGGGGAUAACUCGGCGAAAGCCGUGCUAAUACCGCAUAUGCUCUACGGAGGAAAGUGGGGGACCGCAAGGCCUCACGCUAUGAGAGCGGCCGAUGUCCGAUUAGCUUGUUGGUGGGGUAAUGGCCUACCAAGGCGACGAUCGGUAGCUGGUCUGAGAGGAUGAUCAGCCACACUGGGACUGAGACACGGCCCAGACUCCUACGGGAGGCAGCAGUGGGGAAUUUUGGACAAUGGGGGCAACCCUGAUCCAGCCAUGCCGCGUGCGGGAAGAAGGCCUUCGGGUUGUAAACCGCUUUUAGUCGGGAAGAAAAGGCGCAGGACAACACCCUGCGUUUUUGACGGUACCGGCGGAAUAAGCACCGGCUAACUACGUGCCAGCAGCCGCGGUAAUACGUAGGGUGCGAGCGUUAAUCGGAAUUACUGGGCGUAAAGCGUGCGCAGGCGGUUUGCUGUGUCUGUCGUGAAAGCCCCGGGCUUAACCUGGGAAUGGCGAUGGAAACUGGCGAGCUGGAGUGCGGCAGAGGGGGGUGGAAUUCCGCGUAGCAGUGAAAUGCGUAGAGAUGCGGAGGAACACCGAUGGCGAAGGCAGCCCCCUGGGUCGACACUGACGCUCAGGCACGAAAGCGUGGGGAGCAAACAGGAUUAGAUACCCUAGUAGUCC